This is a long non-coding RNA of Hyaena hyaena (striped hyena), 1440 nucleotides long. RefSeq lists it as uncharacterized. The record is from RefSeq and is a predicted model, not a curated record. Lineage: Eukaryota; Metazoa; Chordata; Mammalia; Carnivora; Hyaenidae. The transcript has 2 exons.
CUCCGUUGGUGAUCUCCUCACUGGCUUCAAAACGGAGUCCAAAUUCUAAGCCAAGGCAAGGAUGUGAAGGAGCAAAGGUGCCCAUUCUCGCACAAGAGGUGAACAUGGUUCCACGGUGAAGAAAUCAGAAUAUGACAAGAUGGCCAAUGUAUUCUGGGUAGUACUCGGAAAUGACCAUUCCGCUCAAAAACUAUGGGUGGAUUGCAAGCUGCCUGCAAAUUCUUUCCCAUGGGGACACUGCAUGCAACUUUACAGUGUGGCUCUGCAGCUCUUCCCCCACAACAAGAGUCUGUGUCUUCGUCCCUGAAAUCUGGACUCGGCCUUGUGACUUGCUUUGGCCAAUUGGACAAGCAGAGGUUUGAAAAGUGCUUGUAUGUUGAGAUCCACCUUCUCUUGCUGCUGAAAACCCUUCUGCUACCACAUGUAGGAGUCUUGGCUUGCUUCCUUGAGAAUGAGAAGCCAUGUGGAGAAAGACUUCCAUCAUCUCAACUCUUCCCUAAUUGAGUGAGACCACCCUAAUCGAUGCAAGCCUAGACAAGAACCACCCAGUCAACACACAGAAUUGUGCAAAAUAACUAAGCUGCUAAGCUUUUGGGUGUUUUGUCAUGCAGUAGACGCUCCCUGAUGCUGAUGCCUUCUGGGGGGACUCUGUAGCAUCCUGCUUCUCAUCCAAUCCUUUGGCUCCAAGGUGAGGGCCCCAGUCUUUAUAAGAUCUACUAUCACAUGAUCUAGUGGCCAUUGUUAGACUUCACUUCCUCCAACUGCCUUCAGUCCCCAUCAGCCCAGUCUCAUGGUGAUUUUCCCACUGAGAAAAUCACAACUCUGUCUUAUACACUAACGGCCUUGGCACAUUUUGCUAUUCUGUGAUUCUUCUUUGAGCCACUUAUUGAGAGGAGGAAGGGCAGGUAUUGAUGGUAGAGAAGGAGGAGAGACUUGCUCUGGCUGUAGGACACAGAGCGAGGUCGUACGUGGGAAGGAGCGCCUGGUUGAAGCUGUGCAGGUUGAUGACAGGAAGGGGAGAGGAGGCCACCUGUGCCCACCCAGAUCGUGCCACAUGAGACGUAAUGGAGCGCACUGGGCAGACGCACUGGCUAGGCCGUCAUACUGCUGCGCUUGAGUCCUCACUCAGCCUUUACCUGCUGCGUCAUCUUUGACGAAAGAUACUGCUGUGUUCAGGACACCAAAGAGUCCCAAAAGCUCCAAUAUCAGUUAGCUAUUGCUGCAUAACAAAGCUGUCCAAAAUGUAGUAGCUUUUAAAACAACAACAUUUAUUAUUUUACACAAUUUGUGCCAUCUUCGGGAAACUUGACCUCUCUGUAUGAAAAUUUCUUAAUUUGUGAAAUGGAAAAAUGCCAGGAUGUACUUCAUGAUGUAAACCUCUUAGAACGCUAUGUAGUGCUCUGUCAUAGUGGAACACUAAAAAAUGUUCGUUCUUAAAAA